AAACUACAGUAGAUACAUUAUUAUUAAAAAUUCCAAACCAUUAGUUACCACCCCUAAAUUUACUCUCCUCUAAUUUCUCCCACUUUACUGUUCACGAACACUUCCCUUCCAAAAAAUUCUCCUCCAUCUUCUCAACAGAUUCAUAUUCCAAGUUUGAAUUUCAAACUAUUUCGCACUCCAUUCAACCAAUUUCAGAAUUUGAAAUAGUUUGGGGAUUACCCAAAUAGUCAAAAACUAAAAAGGAGGCACAUGCAAAAACGGCCAAGAAAAGGGGUAGAAAGGUCGCCCCUACCAUAUCCAGAUCUGCACUACCAACGUGAUUGCGGAAUGUUCGUAGCUGCAUUUGCUAAAUUCUUGAGUGACGAAAUCAACAUGUCAUAUGAUAGCUUUCGAAGUGAUUAUCUUCGCAAAAAAUAUGCAACGCUGUUAUGGAAGUAUGGUCUCGACAAGGCCAAUGCUGGAUAUGUUAGCGACAAUGAUGACCCUCCAAGGCUGAAUAGUGUCGUAAAUCCAGUAGCAGAAAAUGAACUUGUUAAUGUAGGCUAGUUAGUUUUCUAUGUUACUGUUCACAGACAUAUACAAUGCUUUUUGUUUUUUAAGAUAUAUUAAUUAGUGUUUUGGAGUA
Long non-coding RNA from Solanum tuberosum (potato), 625 nucleotides. RefSeq lists it as uncharacterized. NCBI's taxonomy places the organism in Eukaryota, Viridiplantae, Streptophyta, Magnoliopsida, Solanales, Solanaceae. The record is from RefSeq and is a predicted model, not a curated record. The transcript is spliced from 3 exons.